Bubalus bubalis (water buffalo) is the source of this 1446-nucleotide long non-coding RNA. RefSeq lists it as uncharacterized. The transcript has 3 exons. NCBI's taxonomy places the organism in Eukaryota, Metazoa, Chordata, Mammalia, Artiodactyla, Bovidae. The record is from RefSeq and is a predicted model, not a curated record.
CUAUUACUAUACCAGGUAGGGAAACCGAGGCACACACAGGUUAGGUAACUUAACCUCAGUCACUCCAAGGCAAGGCUCACAUUUGAACCCAAAUGCUCUAGCACCUGGGCUUUGGUGGUGAUGUUGGCACAGAAGAGGGGGAAGAUCAGGAUGAAGAAGCAAGAGGGGAAGGCCUUGAGUCCACUCUCAGGGGUCUGGGGGGCACACAGGACAUCCCCGCUGUGCCUGGCUGUGAGCCCAUGCUUCUUAAACGUGAAUAGAAUCAAAGCACGGACCCUCCUUUGUGCUGGACACUGUCUUACCACUUGAUUCACAUCUCAGGGUAUGUUUGAUGAUUUCCCUUGCAGAUGAGGGCCCUCACCCAGCGCCAGGAGACGUCUCUGGGCCAGCGUCACCCAGCCAGGAAGGGGCGAGUCAGAGUCUGCCCUCUUGGCUCUCUUGGAUCCCAAACUCCUGGCUCUUUCCUGCCCAGCCAGCUCCCCUCCGGAAGGAAACUCUGCCCAGAAACAUGCCCGCUUGGCACUACUCAGCCUGGGAGGCUUGGUCGGCCCAGAUCCUGUGAACGCCGCCCACAUUGCCCUUCCUCUGGGCCAUAAAGACCCUCUCCUCUCAGCCCUGCCCAGCCCAGGCAGGUGAAACAGUGAGACCGCCCAAGGCCAAGGAUUUAUCUACCACUCUUCUCUGAAUCAGAGGUCUUCUGCAUGGCUGGCGUUCACCAAAGACAAGGCAGCAGCUGGAGAUCAGCCACUGCAGCUCCAGCUCCGUGUAUCUCUCAUUCCGUGAUUCAAGCUGAAGGAGAAGCCACUCUCUGGGACAAGUUACCUGGUGGUUGAUGGCAAACAGCAGGUAACAACUAAAAAUGUACACUCUCUCUUUUUUUUAAAGAAGUGUUUAUAUUUUCAAAAAAUAUUUAUUUUGCCCAGUCUUAGUUGUGGCGUACAAGCUCUCUAGUUUUGACAUGCAAGCUCUUAGUUGUGGCAUGUGGGAUCUAGUUCUCUGAUCAGAGAUCAAACCCUUUCCCAGCCCGGCCCCCCACCCCGUAUUGGGAGCACAGAGUCUUAGUCACUGGACCACCAGAGAAUUCUCCACACUCUCUCUUAAAGCUAUUAACUCAGACUUGGCAUGUGAAUGUCAGGCAUAUCUGCUGAUGCACCAUUGGCUUAAGUAAGUCACAUGUCCCAGUCUGUCAAGAUGGGGAAGGAUAGACCAACUUUUCGGGGGGGGUGGUUGCAGUUUACACAUCCGUGAACAAGAGUGUAUAAGCUUGCUAUAGGGAAGGAAGCCAAUGGUUGGGGAACAGUAGUACAAUCUACCACAAUCUGCUGAAAAUACAGUUGGCUGCAAGUAACAAAAGAAUGCCUGACAAACAGUAGCUUUAAAAAAAAAAAAGGUGGUUUAUUUUUCUCACAAAGCAAGAUCUCAAGUGAUUUCAGAGUUUGGCAACAC